AGCUGUGCGAAAAAAUCAAUAUCACUCUUCAAAUCAUUAAUUUGUGCAUAUGAGUUACCACAGGCAAAAUCAAAAUGCCAUACUCACCAGCCUGACAGUUAAAACCAGCAUAACCAGGCUUGCAUUUACAAAUAUUGGGUGCCACACACUCCAUAUUUUUGCCACAUGUUUGUCUACAUCUUGCUGAAAGGCAAUGAAGAAAACAAAGGGAAUAAGGAAAAUAAAAUUGGCAUUUCACACAACUGUGUUUUGCCUAACAUAAUGCACAAAUCACAGAGAAUCCAUUAUGCCACUGUCUGUAAAUGGGAGUCUAAGACACAUCAGGAAAAUAUUUUUAAGUGCAUCCUUACAACUAAAAGCCUGUAGGCUAUGCCAAUAUUAAUAAUGAAAGUGAGAAAAUUCAAUACACUAAGCUUUUCACUGAUUAUACAGUAACAAUGUACUUUCAAGUUAUAAAGACAUCUCAAUAUUCUUUUUUUCAAGUCAUUUAAGUUCAGUUAUUUGUAAUACCUCUGCAAGUGAAGCCAUCUCCAUAAUAACCAUAAGGACAACGACCACACCUGAUGCUUCCAUCCAGACUUGGCUCACAGUGUACACCAGGAAAACAGGGUGAUACAGCAUGGCUCUCUGAAGAUGCAGUCAUCACAGUAUGUACUGAAGAACUCACUUCCACGUCAGCAAGGUGACCACUGAUGGUCCUGAGAGUGUGAGCAAUGUUUCCAGUAACAGCAGAUUAUUUGGGCAUGGACCACAAUCAUAAGAACCAAAAGUAUUGAAGCAAAAUACUCCAGGGAAGCAAGGACUGGAUACACAUUCAUCUACAUCCUCUUGACAGUGUUUACCUGCAUUAAAAUACAGAUUUAAUUUUCUAUAAUAUUGUGUCAUUAGACUUUGAUGGCAUAUUUAUAAAAGUACAAUGUAUGCCAGUGCUGAAAUAGAGAAAAAAAUAUCUAUCAUUUCAGUACAGCUAAUAAGAACAGCUGACUAGGUUUGCAAUUCACAUUUUUUCAUCUUAUAUUAAGUAUCUUGCUUACUGCAGAAUAUGGAAGAAAUGAGCUGUGGGAACUACAUGUUUAUCUGCAGGAGAAAUCACACUGUAACCAAACUCAUCAUUCGUAUGUUUCUCCAUAUUGCUGAGUUUACCUCUGUGGAAAUUUGCUUUCAUAGUAAACUAAAAUAAACAACCAUUGUAUUCAUGCAAGAAAAAUCUUGAAGUAUACCAUAUAUCUUUAUCACCAGAACAGAAAAUUUCUUUAUAAUCUAACAGUAAGCUAUUUACGGUCAAAAAUUAAAAAAAUAGAAUUUCAGACAUAUA
Long non-coding RNA from Corapipo altera (White-ruffed manakin), 1315 nucleotides. RefSeq lists it as uncharacterized. The record is from RefSeq and is a predicted model, not a curated record. NCBI's taxonomy places the organism in Eukaryota, Metazoa, Chordata, Aves, Passeriformes, Pipridae. The transcript has 3 exons.